CCCGCCUUGAAUCUGGACUGUAGCUGGAUUGAUGCUUUAUGACGUUCAAGGCUAGAUUAUAAGAAUCUUGCUGCUUCUACUUGGGACUCUUGGAAUGCUCACUCUUGGGACAUUCCCUCCUAGGACCCAGCUGCAAUCUUCAGGAAUCAGGGAUCUUGUGUAGGUGAGAUCAGGUGGACAGGUUGAUAGUGUGCAGUGAACUCCCAGCCAACAGAUAACAUCAACUGCCAGCCAUUCACUGCCAGCCAAGUGAAUAGGCCAUUUUGGAUGGCCAGGCCUGUCCAAACUUCUGAUGACUCCAGCCCCAGCUGUUGUCUGACUGCAAUUGUAUGAAAGACCCCAAGCAAGAACUGCCCAGCUGAGCUUAGUCAGCCCAUAGAACCGUGAGAGGCUGCUCUUGUGACUUGAUUUGACAAAUGGAAUCUGGCAGAAGUGACAUUGGAUGUCUUCUGAGGCCAGGCUUAUAGAGGCUAGGGAGCUUCUGCUUUUGGUCUCUUGUAACCCUAAGACUCCCAUGCUGUGAACAAUUAUGCUCACGAAGAAAGACUUCUGCAGAGAAAGGCCCAGGUAAGCUCAGUCUUAGUCAACUGCCAGUGGACUGUACCCAGGCAAGUCCAGAAGAGAAUUCCUCAGCCAACCUAUAGAAUCAUGACAAAUAAUAAAUUGCGGUUGUUUAAAACCAUGAAGUUU
RNAcentral lists this long non-coding RNA (690 nucleotides) under Homo sapiens (human). RNAcentral's name for it is "HSALNT0337985". Lineage: Eukaryota; Metazoa; Chordata; Mammalia; Primates; Hominidae. The record is from RNAcentral.